CCCUGGAAUUAGCGCCAACUCUGGCCUCCUGCUAAGCGCCUAGUUUUCCUGUGAUCUUUUACUAGCUGAGCUGCCCGUGACCUUUCCCAGCCUUGGAUUUUCUCCUCGGGCGAACUAAGGCUGGCCAGAGCUGCCUCCGGGGUCGCGGGGAGGACUCAGUGAGGAAACCAGGGCGAGCGCGCUUUGGAAAGCCAGUUGCUGAGCAGAUGAAAAUUUAAGAAUUGUACUGUGCCCCCGCUUUCAAAGCCACUCAGUGAAGGCUGAGGAUUUCUCGAUGUUUCUAACAGGAAGGAAGUCCUGGAGGAUAAAGUAAGAAGAUAAUAGGAUAAUGGAGGAUAAUGCUGUACCAGGAACUAACAAUCCAUCGGGGGAAACAUGGCCCCAAACAGCAUUCAAGUCCAUACCCUUCUGCUUUAUUCUUAAGGGCAGAAAAUACUGAUGCAGCAACAGCAAUCUAAGACCAGUAGGCAAAUGGAGAGGGAAGGAAAGGAUGCAAGAGUAAAUCUAAGUUUCCAUCUCCGGAAGAAAUAGACCCCAACCUGAAAACACCAAAUUCUGCCGCUAAAAAGGAGGCGUCUUUGGAAGAAAUAGGGAGUCCCGCCCUCACCCUAUCCCAGUCUUGUCCUCUCUCCCUCUCUAGACCCAAACAGGAAAAAC
Long non-coding RNA from Bos taurus (domestic cattle), 657 nucleotides. The record is from Ensembl. NCBI's taxonomy places the organism in Eukaryota, Metazoa, Chordata, Mammalia, Artiodactyla, Bovidae.